This 11310-nucleotide long non-coding RNA is filed under the name Lynx pardinus (Iberian lynx). The record is from RNAcentral. Lineage: Eukaryota; Metazoa; Chordata; Mammalia; Carnivora; Felidae.
UGUUUCAAGAAGCUCGAGGAGGGCCUGCGGCCGGCACUGCCUCGAUCAGAACUCCACAAACUGAUCAGCCCCUUGCAAUGUCUAAAUCACGUGUGGAAACUCCACCACCCCCAGGAUCUAGGCCCCCUGCCCCAGCCCGCUCACCCCUUCCCCUACAGCAGACUGCCCCAUCCCUUCCCGUUCCACCCUCUCCAGCCCUGGAAACCUCACCCCUUAGAGUCCUUCUUCCUAGACAAACUGGCCUGUAUAGACAGCCAGCAGCCCCUGUCCGGCCCCCACCUGGGCAAACUGGCCUGUGUGGACGGUCAGAAGCCUGUGCCCGGCCCACACCUGGAGCCCGGGUGCCCAUCCCGGGGCCCGUAUGACAAGUUUUCUGUGGAGGAGUACAUGGUACACGCCCUGCAAGGCAGUGUGAGCUCAGGCCAGGCCCACAGCCUGGCCAGCCUGGCCAAGACCUGGUCGGCAGGAGGUUUCAAGCCCCAGAAGCCCAGCCCUGAAACGAUGGACAGCGAGGGGGUCCUGCUUACAGAGGUAAGCCAUCCCCCAAACACAGGUACAUGUACCACCGGCUCUGGGGCCCAGAGCAGCAGCCGGCCGUCAGGCGGGACCUGUUCUGGGGGGGGGAGGGGGGGGGGCGAAGCAUCACUGGAAACCUGCCAGACCCUUUUUACUUCCCACCUUUGCGGGGAGUCGGGGCGGGGGGGAGUGGGGCGGGGCAUAGUCUUCACUCUGUAUCGAAGUAUCUGUAUCGUCAUCAGAUAGUCGGAAAGUGCUCAUCCCUGUCAAGAGGCGGUAUCCCCUGCUCCACCUCCAGAUCAUUCUUCAGGCUUUUUAGAUAUUUCUGCUUUGAGUUCUUCUGAAGUUAUUGCCGAACUUAUUAAGUUAUUGCUGAAGAGUGUGUGUGUGUGUGUGUGUGUGUGUGUGUUGAAUGAUACACAUACUGAGAAAGAGGAAUAAGCAAGCAUCAACUGCACAUGUUCCCUCCUGACCCCUGCUAUGAAAGGCGAGGAUUUUGACCAUCUGCAUAUCCCCCUGGCCUUCCUCUUUCCCUCCAGUGCUCUGCUGGAGAGCUUUAUAACUCUAAGAUGAUUUUACCAGACUUCAAUUUCUGGGGUUUAUUCCAUCCAUCUUUGACAUGAUCCCUUGUCCCCCACCCCUCUUCAUGGUCCCUUCCCUUUCUUCUACCUUAUAGCUUCGGAGCUAUACUUUUGGUCAUGGUUGUUGAUAGUUCCAUUUUUUUAAAGUUUGAUUUAUUUAUUUUGAGAGAGGGGUUGGGGGCCGGGGGUGGGGCAGAGAGAGAGGAGAGAGAAUCCCAUGCAGGCUUCGCCCUAUCAGUGCAGAGCCCCGUGCGGGGCUCAAACCCAUGACCUGAGCCAAAGUCAAGAGUCAGACGCUUAACCGGCUGAGCCUCCCAGGCGCCCCGACAAUUCCAUUUGUGUCCCACAACCGCAAGUCUGGGGAGAAGGAUCUUUCGCCACAAGGGUCGGCUUAGCUUGGGCAGCCGGCGAGGCUGUCCACUGCCUUCACUUUUUUCCUGUAACUCCCUCUGGUCCUGCCCCUGCAGAGCCCUGCCUCAGACCCGGGGGUGUCUUUGGUGGUGAGGGCUCUGCCCCAGCAGCCUGGCAAGGACGACCAGCCAGAGAGCCUUCCUCACUGUAACCCUUCGUCCCGCCCGCUGCCCUGGUCACUGAAACUGGCUUCUGUCUCCUGCCAACCCCAGAAACUCAAGCCGGUGGAUUAUGAGUACCGAGAGGAGGUCCACUGGGCCACGCGCCAGCCCUGCCUGGGCAGAGGCUCCUUCGGAGAGGUGCACAGGAUGCAGGACAAGCAGACUGGCUUCCAGUGUGCGGUCAAAAAGGUAGGCCCGAAAGAAAAAGGUGCGCCUGGGCUCCGGGGGCUGCAGAGGGAAGCCAGGCAGGUGGCCUGUUGUGUUCCUUCUGCUUUCUUUCAAGGGCAAUCACAGGGCAGCCAUGGCUCUGGCUUGUUAACAGAGCCUGGCUGUCGCUGGGCACCCUGGGGUCAGCUGGAGCCGGAAGGGAGCAGUCUCGGUCACAUGUCCCGGCCUGGGAGCUGCACUUGGUGUGCAUGUGUCAGAUGGAGUAUGCAAGUGUGCACGCGUCCUGGGCCACUCCUGAUGCCGGGGCCCUUAGGGGCAAGUCCAAACCUGGAAGGUGUUGGCUCGUCGUGCAAUUCGUGUUGAGCUGAAACCCCUAAACCACAUAGUGGGGCUGCUCACGCCUGGGCCAGAAGGUAAAAACCACCACAACAAUAACCUGCCCCUAACGGGUGCCUCUUGGACGAGGCCAUGCGCUUGGGACGUCAGAUCUGAUUUCGGUUUGGGCUCUGCCUCCUGCUGGCGGGAAUAAUAGGUCCUGGGAGGUGGACCUUAUGAGGAAAUGAGACUUAGCAAGAGACCCAGGCUUGGCUAGCUCCAGAGUCUGGCUACGAUCCACUCUGUAGGAAGUGGGCAGGGGAAGAGACUCAUGGUCCUGGGAAUCGACGGGAGCAGGGGCGUGAAUCGCCUCCCCUGCUCCCUCGUUUCACCAGGGUAGAACCGGGGACCGGAGAAGGUAGCGUGCCUUGUCUAGAACCGUAGAGCUGGGCCUGGAACUGAGGCCUCCUUGUGCCGCAGCAGAACACAGACCUUGGUGCUGGCUCUUGCUCCCCUUCAGGUGUCUUUUCUCCUACCCCCACCCUCAGUUCACCUUGACUGGAAGCCACCUUGUCCUCGGCCCAAACUCAGCCUCAGAGCUAGUGCCCAGGACCGCAAGAGGCUGAAAUGAGAAACGUUUCGAGGGGCCGUUUUCUUGGCCCGUGACAAAAGGAAAUAAGCUAGCUCCCCGGUAGACCUUGUUUUCAAGCAGGUCUUGUCAGGGACCCUCUGCUCCCCCCAAAGGGAAGAGGACCAAAGGCACGCUCAGCCCCGUGGCUGCUUGUGGCUUUCAGCGGUGAGGACGCAAAUUGUGAUGUGAAUACCCUGAAUACCCUGGCUUCCUUGGCUUGUAGGUGGGCCGGGAUGUUACAGUUGGAGAGCUUGGGCCCCCGGGUGAUGGGCUGAGAGGGGGACUAUCCGUAGGUAUUACCCCAAACUUCAGACACACUGUGUCAACGGAGCGGGCCCCACCCCCGCCUCCCCCCGCCGGCCCAGGCACGUGCUGAGUGCCCGCCAGCGUGGGCCGGCAUUUCCCACUGGGUGCCAAGGCCAUGUGCCCUCCCCGGGCCAUCGGAGAAGGCUCAGCUGUCCCUCCUGAAGGCUGGGUGGGAGGAGAGCGAGAGUAUGAAGUGUCCUGGAGUCCAGUGCCCAGCGCUAGGGGAGCUUAGUCACUGGGCUUCUCAGCUGUCACCCUGCUGAGGUUCUCCGGGGUCCCAGGCAACAAGGAAAACAACCCUGAUAUAGUAGAAGACAGAUACUCCAUUUCUCACCUCCCCAAGGCAGGCGGAAAAGUUCCAAGCACAACGAGUAGGCUCCCCAGGGCCAGAACUGGCCGCUUCCAGAAUCUGCCUCCCCGACCCAAGAGCUCAGUGGGGUGGCUUUGGGGCCGCCCACACAGCUGCCAUCGGGUGGGCAGACAGCCCCUCCUUUUUCUCCUUUUUCUGGGGUGGGGGGGCAGGAUGUAGAGCAGGCACUGGGGGAGGGGGCAGGGAUCAGAGGUCAGAGCGGGUCUGUGCACUCUCCAGUGUUCCCUGAGGAAGAUCCAGCAUGUGGAACAACAGCACUUCCUUGGUCCUCCUUCUAGAACAUCCAUGGCCUCGGGUCAGAUGCUGACUGGUCACAAGUCCAGGGUUUAACGCACGGGGGUCUGUUCACUUUGUUAAGGCCUUGUUUGAUCUUUUAAUGGCAAAUAAACACAGGCUCAUUAUAGAAGAUUUCAAAGGAUACCCCAAAACACAAAAGUCCUUGUUGCCCAAUCCCGUUCGCAGAGGCAGCUGCCCUUUGACAUCUUUUUAGACUUUUUAUGCAUACAUAAACAUGUAGUUGCUUUUAUUAAAACGAGACUACUCUAGAGGCUGUCCUGUGCCAUAUGUUCCAUGUGAUCGCAUAUCGUGGACACAGUUCCUUAUUGGUACAUCCAUGUCUCUCUAGUGCUUUUUAUCAGCCGACGUGGAAGUUUGUAUCCUCGCCAGUGGAUGAAUUUAUAGAACGUGUGAACUCCUGGAACUUUGUUCAAUGGUGUAUCUGUGUGUGGCACACACAUUUUGGAUGGGGAAGCAUCCGUUAUCAUGUAUCAGGUGUUAAAGACGUCUGUGGCCCAAAGAGGGUUAAGAACCAUUCAUUUAAGAACAUCUGGCUCCUGCAUGGAGUUCUGGGAGCCUCCUUUUGACUCUGCCUCCGAUCGGGUUAGUGUGGCCUUGGCCCAACCCAGCCGUUACCAAGCACCUGGUCUGUGCCAGAUACGGCGCCAGGGGCUAGAGGCAAAGCUGCGGAAUCCACACCCCCGGAAAGGCUUGGCGACGUUGUAAUGGGGGAUGGACAUUUACAUGGCAUAAAGGUGGUAGAAAGCAGCCGUCAGCAAGGUACACCAGUGAGGGCAGCCUGGACGAGCGCUGAGAAGGGGAUCUAGGACUGAGGGGAGAGUAUCUCCAUGGCGACGAGGAAAUGGGGGGACCCCUCUGUUUAUUUGACUACUGUGCGCCCAGUACUGUGAGUUACUUUUCACGUAUCUUACGUUCCCGGGAUCUUUAAAAGAAUUUACAGAAUUGCUAUUUUCCGCGUUUUUACUGAUGAAAUAAAAUGGAUACAGAUACUGACCAAGAGGGAGAGUUUUAAGAAAGAAAAGUCAAUCCCCAGUGUCAGCAUGCAGGCAGUUAAGCGGGGGAAGUGGCUUGUGGACUUGGCAGUCAGGGGAUUGCUGACUGCGCUCCCACCUACACGCUCCCAAAUGUACGUGAGAACGUCCUGGAUGUAAGAGCUGAUACUCCUGGGAAGGCCUUCGGUGAGGCGGGGCAGCUGGCAUCCCAGAGUCAGGCUUCCCCAACCAAAACCCCACCUCUGAGACUUCCUACCAGUGACCUUGGGCAAGUUAUUUGUCCAGACUCUAGCUUCCUCAUCUGUAAAUUGGAGAUAAUGAGAAUACCACCCCAUAGGCUAUUGUAAGAUGUAAAUAACGAAUGCUCAUAAAGUGCUUAGAAUGGUGCCUCGCAUGUGUUCAGUGGGCAGUGAAUAUUAGUUUUCGUGAACACCCUCACCAUAGUCCAGCCCCUUGCUUUAACAGAUGAGGACCCUGAGGUCCAGGGAGGAGAGGUGGGCCAGCUGGGCGGCCGUGUGCUUUCUCUCCAGCUGCGCCGCUUGGGACUGCCCUUUCUGCUUGCUCUCCCUGGGGCUGGCACAGACUUCUAAAUCACCUUGGGGGCGCCUGGGUGGCGCAGUCGGUUAAGCGUCCGACUUCAGCCAGGUCACGAUCUCGCGGUCCGUGAGUUCGAGCCCCGCGUCGGGCUCUGGGCUGAUGGCUCGGAGCCUGGAGCCUGUUUCCGAUUCUGUGUCUCCCUCUCUCUCUGCCCCUCCCCCGUUCAUGCUCUGUCUCUCUCUGUCCCAAAAAUAAAUAAACGUUGAAAAAAAAAAAAAUUUAAAAAAAAAAUAAAUAAAUAAAUAAAUCACCUUGUGUUUUGGAGUGUCCCCUCUGACCCGCCCCCACCCGGGUCUGGGUGAGAAUUGAAAAAAAAAUUUUUUUAAGAUUUUCAUUUUUAUUUUUUUUUAUUUUUUUUUAAUGUUUAUUUUUGAGAGAGAGACACAGACAUAGUGUGAGCAGGGAAGGGGCAGAGAGAGAGAGAGAGAGAGAGAGGGAGACUCGGAAUCUGAAGCGGACUCCAGGCUCUGAGCUGUCAGCACAGAGCCCAAGGCAGGGCUCACAAACCGUGAGAUCAUGACCUGAGCCAAAGUCAGACACUUAACCGACUGAGCCACCCAGGCGCCCCCUAAAGAUUUUUAUUUUUAAGUAAUUUCUACACCUAGUGUGGCUUGAACUUACAACUCUGAGAUCAAGAGUCAUGGGCUCUACUGACUGAGCCAGCCAGGUGCCCCUGGGUGAGAAUGUUCUCAACAUUACUGGAAUACUCCAGAGGACUUAUGGAUUUCUUAAAAGUUAGGGCAGAGGUUCCCAGCCUUUCUCGGUUUGCAGCCCUUAGUAUCAGUAAUUUUUCAUGACACCCCAGGCCAAAACAAAUACCUAAAAGUUCCAUUUAUUAAAGUAAUUAGGUCAAAUAAUAGUGUUUUUCCUAACAACUUAGUAGUUAUUUGAAUAACAAUACACAUAAGUUGAAAGGAAAUUUCCUUCUGUUCUUAAUCAUAACUACUAACGGGAUGUAUGCCUCGUUGGGCACUGCACAACUUCUCAAAAUUUUGAAAUCAGAUCAGACAUCCUCAGCUUCAUAUCCUGCUUCCUAUCCCCCCCUCAAAGUACUUGUAUCCCCGCAAGCUCCAAAAGCCUAGCUUCGUAAAGAUACAUGGAAAGAAUGGAGCGCAAGCUAAUGUCGAAACUGAACUAUCUUGAGGGAGUAAUUUACGCGGUGUCCCACAGAUAACCAUCAUCCCUGCUCCCCUCAAAAGUAAAACAUCUCGGGGGCGCCUGGGUGGCCCAGUCGGUGAAGUGUCCGACUCUUGGUUUCGGCUCAGAUCAUGAGCUCACGGUUUCGUGAGUUCAAGCCCCAUCUGGCUCUGCGCUGGCAGCGUGGAGCCUGCUUCGGAGGAUUCUCUGCCCCUCUCCCCCUCGUGCUCUCUCUGUCUCUCUCAAAAUAAAUAAACUAGAAAGAAAAGAAAGAAAGAAAGAAAGAAAGAAGAAAGAAAGAAAAAGAAAGAAAGAAAGAGAAAAAGAAAGACAAAGAAAAAGAAAGAAAGAAAGAAAAAGAAAAAGAAAGAAAGAAAAACAUCCUGCAGCACCCUGCCAAGUCCUCUGGGGUGCCCCAAACUGCUUCAGCUCCGUUUGGGAGCCCGAGAGUUAAAGACCUUUGCUAGUACGAGUCCUGAUGGUGAAUUCAUUCCAACUCAGGUUCAGAGCUGGAAACGCUGACAAAGAGUCAAAAUUUCUGCAAGUUGAUUAACCAGACCAGAUACUCUGUAACCAAAAGAGAGAAAUUUUCCACUGAUAGGCAAAAGUCCAAAAGCCCCACAUCGUCAGGGCUCCUGCCAAGUCAGCAUGUCUCCAAGCCAGACUGCCAGGUCCUGAGUGAUUUCUUCCAGGCUGGUUUUGUUGCCACCGGCGCCCCCUGGUGGUACCUGUUAAGACUAACAGGAGAACCAGCGGCAACCGGACAGGAGAGGACAAGUGUCUGUUAGGACUUCUAAGUGUUUAAUAAGUUGCUCUUAUAUGAGCUGGAGGGAGGAAGGGGGCAGCUAACAUUUCCUGAGCACCCGCUGGUUGCGAGGCCUAGCGCUGGGUUAUCAUCCCUCCAAAUCCUCACUCUACGCGGGAGCAGAUGCCACUGUCAUCACCAUUUGCACAUGGAAACACAGCUUAAGGGACACACUCUACCUUUGGAAAUGGCCAAGCCAGAGUCUCAGUCUAGGAUGAUUGUGUCCUAGGCCUGUUUCUUCCCUCCUUGCUGUGCUCAUCCCUACACAAAGGAGUGGGUGGUCCCUAUGGGAGGGACCUUGGCCAAACCCCUCCCGUUAGAAGCCUCCUUUUGCCCAGAUCCCGGGGAAACAGCUGCAAACAGAAUAAACAGGCACUGCUCCGUCUACAUGGGCACUUUAGCCUUCAGGGGAAAGACAAAUAAUUACGAGCUGAGAAAAGUGCUGAGGAUCCAGAGGCACUGACAGAGCCAGGAUCCUUGGCUGCCAUCGGCUCUGGCUACAGAUAAGAUGGAAACCCAGCCUCUGAAGAGUAGACGUGGAUGUUGAUAAACAGAAGGUCUCAUGUCCUCGAAAUGGCCCAGACAUUUGGGCUGGGGCAAAAAAAAAGUUCUGUGUUUGGCAGAUUUGAGGGUGGGAGCGUGCCAGGAGCCUGGAUAAGGGCUGUAGUCUUUGUGAUUCCGUGUAUUUCCACACACAUCAGCAGUGCAGAAUUUUAACCAAGCACUGGAUGUUGAACCUGACCCCCCAGGGUAUACAGUUUAGUCUCUGUGGCUCCAGUAGGCCCACCAGGGCCCUGCCUGGCCUCAGAAUCAUCACUGGGAACAUCAGCAGUCUCUGUGCAGGGGCACUGGGGAACCAGCCCUUGUCCCUCACCCUGACUCACAGCUACCUCUGCGCCCUGCCAGGUGCGCAUCGAAGUGUUUCGGGCAGAGGAGUUGAUGGCAUGUGCAGGAUUGACCUCACCCAGAAUCGUCCCUCUGUAUGGAGCUGUGAAGGAAGGUCCUUGGGUCAACAUCUUCAUGGAACUCUUAGAAGGUAAGGAGCCAGGUUCAGAGCCAAGGGUUGACCUUGGUCCCCAGUUAUUCCAUUUUUAAUCUCUUGACCCUGCGACAUCAGCCGGAAAGGCCUACUUUCCACCACCUGCCCUUUGAAGGCCUUUGCCCGUGGCCUGCUUGCAGGCCUGGAAAUGCACCAUGUAAAGACUGGCCGUUGGUCUCCUAGGUGGCUCGCUGGGCCAGCUCAUAAAGCAGAAGGGCUGUCUGCCGGAGGACCGGGCCCUUUACUACCUAGGCCAGGCUCUGGAAGGGCUGGAGUACCUUCACACCCGAAGGAUUCUGCACGGAGAUAUCAAAGGUGAGGCUUGUGCCCCCACCGCCCUGGUCCCCAGCGGCCUCCUCCUUCCUUACCUCAACCUGCCUGACCUCCUCCCAGAUCUUCUGGGCCUGCCUGACCGUCCCCAGUGGCAGGUCCCACGUCAGGCUGGCAGGGCUGUGCUGGCAGGAGGGGGAAGUGUGUUCCCCAGGCCCUUAGCCCGGCACCCUAGUUGCCAGUGGGCAGUGCCUGCAGAGAACUGCAGAUGGAGUUCCUAAGCACUGGUGACCACUGGGGGAGGGUGGGGGCAGCAGAGCUGAGUGGCAGUGUCCCAAGAGUAAACUGUCCCCAGACCUCAGAGAUCCGCCUGCUGCCUGCCUCUAGCCCGAACUGAUAAACCUCCUCCCUUCCUUAUGACUAAUAAAACUAAUCAGAAGCAGGCAGCUGUCAUGUAGGGUCAGCCAGAAACUGCCUCCCUGGAGGUCCAGAUGGGGCUGGGGCCUGGAGUGACUCACCUGUUCCUCUUCUUCUCUGGGGUGGCCUGGCAGCUGACAAUGUGCUCCUGUCCAGCGAUGGGAGCCGUGCAGCCCUCUGUGACUUCGGCCAUGCUGUGUGCCUUCAACCCGAUGGCCUGGGGAAGUCCUUGCUCACGGGUAAGCCCUGCCUCCUGCCUCCCUCCCCCACGAUGACAGUCACCACUAGCCUUCACGAAGCAUUAGCCUUCUCCUGUGCUUUCUGUAAUAGCAGUCAGAGGUGUGAACCCUUUUUGUCCACAGUAUUUCAGCCCAUCAACAACCCUAGGUUAGCAGAAAGCUUUUGUUACGCUUAAAUGCAAGAAUGAGUAUCAGGUCCUCGUUUCUGAUAUUCCUGCUACACAGAGAAGGGAACGGAAAGGCUGGCCGCCUCUCAUCCAGCCUUUUCUGGGUGGCUCGGCUCCCAGCCUGUGGCCUCAGCCAUCCUGGGCCUCUGAGCAGUUUCUGGAAGCACAACACGAGGGCUGACCAAGAGGCCUGGGCUCUGUAGCUGGAGAAGCAUCUGUUUUUAACUUAAAUCUUCUGAUUAGUAAAGUAAUCCACAUCCAUUGUGACAUAUUUAGCAACUACAGAGUGAAGUGGUGUAGAAGAGGAGGGAAAAAGGAGCUACCCUGUUCCUCUUGCCCAGAGACAUAAUCACAAACAUUGUAGAUCACUCCUUCCAUCUCCUUUUUUUCUUCCUGUACCUCGUUAAGGCCAUUAUAACACAAUUCUGCUCUUUUUUCAUUUAUAGCGUUCUGCAUAAGGUUAUUUCCUCUUGACCAAAGGAAAAUCAACCUCUUAUUUAUUUAUUGAGAGAGAGAGAGAGAGAGAGCAGGGAAAGGGCAGAGGGAGAGAAUCCCAAGCAGGCUCCACAGUGUCAGCACAGAGCCCCAUGUGGGGCUCAAACCCACGAACUGCAAGAUCAUGACCUGAGCCGAAACCAUGAGUCAGACGCCCAACCGAGCCACCCCGGCACCCUAGGCAAAAACCUUUUAGAAGUGAUUCUCUGACAGGGCACCUGGGUGGCUCUCAGUUAAGUGCCAGACUUCGGCUCCGGUCAUGAUCUCAUGGUUUGUGGGUGCCAGCCCCGUGUCAGGCUGUGUGCUGACAGCUCAGCGCCUGGGGCCUGCUUCAGAUUCUGUGUCUCCCUCUCUCUCUCUGCCCCUCCUCUGCUCACCCUCUCUCUCUCAAAAAUAAAAAGCAUUAAAAAUUUUUUUAAGUGAUUCUCUAUCAUUAGAGGACUAUCUUGGUCAUUCUGAAGAUGUAUAUUGAAAACAGACACCUGCCUGUAUUAUGAAAAUAAUUUCUUUUCUAAAAUCUUUUGCAGAAAGUAGAACUAAGCUAAAAUAAAAAAUACAGAUCACCAGAGUGGGGGAAACAACUUCCUAUCUGGUAUCGAUCCUUCUAGUCUGCCUAGAAGUUUGUUUGGUUGUUUUUUUGUUUUUGUUUUUUUCACUUGCUAACAUUGCAGGAACAUCAUAACCAUUAAUUAGUCUCCUGCCACAUAAUUUCGAACGCCCAGGCCCCUCCCCAGUGUUAAAAAGCACUCUAAGAGUUUGGGCCAAUGGGUAGAGCCCAUAUUUUGGGUGAUGCCUUCUUUGUGCCAGUCUCCAGGGGAGCCCCUGACUUAGCUCAUCCCCGGCAGAUUUGAGCUGGAGGCUUUCUCUCUACUCGAGGCCCAUUAACAGAGACAAAUUCAAGGUAUCCCGGGAAUUGACUGGUGUGGUCACUGCCAAGGCUCUUGCCCCCCAGAGUUCACGGUUGGCUUUUCCGCCUCACCUCACCCCCCUCAGGGGACUACAUCCCUGGCACAGAGACCCACAUGGCUCCAGAGGUGGUGAUGGGCAAGCCCUGUGACGCCAAGGUGGACGUGUGGAGCAGCUGCUGUAUGAUGCUUCACAUGCUCAACGGCUGCCACCCUUGGACCCAGUACUUCAGAGGGCCACUGUGCCUCAAGGUCAGUGACAGCAUGCGGGAGGGCCAGGAGGCCCACGGGCCCGGGGCUGCAGACUUGGGGCGGUCCCCAUUUUGGCUGCUCUUCCGUGGCCGAUGGGAACAGGAAGAGGCCUCAUCGUAAACGUGGGAGCCUCACUAAAACACUUGCCACCCAGAUCGGUGGGCCCAAGGGGACAUCCCAGGUGAAGGAUCUCCUUAGGUUCAUGGCAGGUCAGCGCUGUCUUCCACUCGUACGCUGGG